AUUGAACGCUGGCGGCGUGCUUUACACAUGCAAGUCGAACGGUAACAGGUUAAGCUGACGAGUGGCGAACGGGUGAGUAAUGCAUCGGAACGUGCCCGAUCGUGGGGGAUAACGCAGCGAAAGCUGCGCUAAUACCGCAUACGAUCUGAGGAUGAAAGCGGGGGACCGUAAGGCCUCGCGCGAUCGGAGCGGCCGAUGUCAGAUUAGGUAGUUGGUGGGGUAAAGGCCCACCAAGCCGACGAUCUGUAGCUGGUCUGAGAGGACGACCAGCCACACUGGGACUGAGACACCGCCCAGACUCCUACGGGAGGCAGCAGUGGGGAAUUUUGGACAAUGGGCGAAAGCCUGAUCCAGCAAUGCCGCGUGCAGGAAGAAGGCCUUCGGGUUGUAAACUGCUUUUGUACGGAGCGAAAAGGCCCUUUCUAAUACAAGGGGCUCAUGACGGUACCGUAAGAAUAAGCACCGGCUAACUACGUGCCAGCAGCCGCCGUAA
RNAcentral lists this ribosomal RNA (493 nucleotides) under uncultured bacterium. Its description in RNAcentral is "partial 16S ribosomal RNA". It matches the Rfam family "Bacterial small subunit ribosomal RNA", at positions 29 to 523 of the family's 1533-position model. The record is from RNAcentral.